Non-coding RNA from Mus musculus (house mouse), 143 nucleotides. The record is from Rfam. NCBI's taxonomy places the organism in Eukaryota, Metazoa, Chordata, Mammalia, Rodentia, Muridae.
ACUCCCCAACAAUGGGCAAAGAGACACUUUGUUGGUGGUGGUCUUCUUAUAUCAGCCAGGCACAGAGCAGAUGUCAGUCUUCUGUUCUCCUAGCUUGAUGCCUGGCUUUGUUGCCAAAGCUGUUUUAUGUCUAGGACUCAUAA